GUGGGAUAGCAGUGGAUAAUGCAGUAACACUCUCCUUCCAGGAUUCUGGGAGAUCAAGGAGAUCUGGAUUUGGGGAAUGUCAGAGGUCUGGAGACAGGAAAAAGAUUGCGUCCCAAACCCUAAGGAGCCAGCUGCUUGGGGUCCCUGUGGCUCAGAGGGACUGUGCACCUGCUGCUCUGUGCUGACAGCCUCAAGCUUGGCUGUUAGGAUUGUAUCACUUGCAGCCCAAACUGCCAGGGGACACUGACUGGUAAAAGGCGACAGAAGGAGUCGGAGAAAUCCAGGCCCCGGGAGGGAGUCUCUUCCAUCUGCUGGCUGUUUUGGGAGUACAGUGCUCCCAGGGUGCCGCGCUGGUCUGCAGGGAACACCCUCUCUGCAUUUUUCUCUCUUGACUCUGGAUCUGCUCCCACCCCUGAUUACCUAUGCCC
This 428-nucleotide long non-coding RNA is filed under the name Rattus norvegicus (Norway rat). Its description in RNAcentral is "long non-coding RNA NONRATT016660". Lineage: Eukaryota; Metazoa; Chordata; Mammalia; Rodentia; Muridae. The record is from RNAcentral.